UCUAAAAAAAUUGAGAAAUUGUCAAAAAUACUAUUUUUAAAGUACCACUUUUUAUGUUUACACUAAUUACUUUAACACUCAUUUUUAAUGAAAGAUAAAAGACAUUUAUAACCUUUUGAUUAACUUGGACAAAGAAAAAAAUAUGGUUAACUAAUCUAAACUUAAAACAUUAACUCUAAACCUUAAAUCAUCAACUCUAAACCCUAAACCAUGAAACAUCAACUCUAAACCCUAAACCCGAAACAUCAACUCUAAACCAUAAACCCUAAACCCUAAACCUUCAAAUCUAAACCCUAAAACAUCAACUCUAAAUCCUAAACGUAAACCAUAAACCCUAAAUCUAAACCUAAAACAUCAACUUUAAACCCUAAAUCAUCAACUCUAAACCCUAAAACAUGAAACAUCAACACUAAACCCUAAACCCCGAAACAUCAACUCUAAACCCUAAACCCUAAACCUUCAAACCUAAACCCUAAAACAUCAACU
This 486-nucleotide long non-coding RNA is filed under the name Brassica napus (rape). RNAcentral's name for it is "long non-coding RNA (BNAP_LNC015471)". Lineage: Eukaryota; Viridiplantae; Streptophyta; Magnoliopsida; Brassicales; Brassicaceae. The record is from RNAcentral.